RNAcentral lists this long non-coding RNA (223 nucleotides) under Elaeis guineensis (African oil palm). Its description in RNAcentral is "long non-coding RNA (EGUI_LNC036860)". The record is from RNAcentral. Lineage: Eukaryota; Viridiplantae; Streptophyta; Magnoliopsida; Arecales; Arecaceae.
CAUCUCUUAUAGGCAGAAGCUCCUCUCCCUCUCUCUCUCAUCGACGUAAAUAUCUAUCAUUCUUUCUCUCCAUCUAUCUCUUAUUGGCAUAACUCCUCUCAUUAUUUCGCUUCCUCUCUCUCGUUGAUGUAAAUACCUCUCAUUCUCUCUCUCUCAUUGGCACACCCAAGCUUUCUCUUUCUCCCUCUGAAACUCUCUCCCCUGUCUCUCAUCAGAACCAUGA